This 80-nucleotide microRNA precursor is filed under the name Schistosoma margrebowiei. RNAcentral describes it as "mir-3492 microRNA precursor family". It matches the Rfam family "mir-3492 microRNA precursor family". The record is from Rfam by way of RNAcentral. Lineage: Eukaryota; Metazoa; Platyhelminthes; Trematoda; Strigeidida; Schistosomatidae.
AGCCUUCGGUAUUCGUGGUGAGAUUUCGUCAGACACUAGACCACAAGGGCUGGUGAGAAACUCCCAAUAUAAGCGAAGCA